GGGUCGUUGGUGUAACGGUAGCAUCCACGCCUCCAAAGCGUUGGGGUUAGGGUUCGAAUCCCUGGCGGCCCGCCA
This 75-nucleotide transfer RNA is filed under the name Geobacter sp. SVR. RNAcentral's name for it is "tRNA-Trp". It matches the Rfam family "tRNA". Rfam says of the family: Transfer RNA (tRNA) molecules are approximately 80 nucleotides in length. Their secondary structure includes four short double-helical elements and three loops (D, anti-codon, and T loops). Further hydrogen bonds mediate the characteristic L-shaped molecular structure. tRNAs have two regions of fundamental functional importance: the anti-codon, which is responsible for specific mRNA codon recognition, and the 3' end, to which the tRNAs corresponding amino acid is attached (by aminoacyl-tRNA synthetases). tRNAs cope with the degeneracy of the genetic code in two manners: having more than one tRNA (with a specific anti-codon) for a particular amino acid; and 'wobble' base-pairing, i.e. permitting non-standard base-pairing at the 3rd anti-codon position. Lineage: Bacteria; Pseudomonadati; Thermodesulfobacteriota; Desulfuromonadia; Geobacterales; Geobacteraceae. The record is from RNAcentral.